UACAGAGGUCCCAAGCGUUGUUCGGAUUCAUUGGGCGUAAAGGGUGCGUAGGCGGCGCGGUAAGUCGGGUGUGAAAUCUCGGGGCUUAACUCCGAAACUGCAUUCGAUACUGCCGUGCUUGAGGACUGGAGAGGAGACUGGAAUUUACGGUGUAGCGGUGAAAUUCGUAGAUAUCGGGAGGAACACCAGUGGCGAAGGCGGCGAUCUGGACAGAUAUUGACGCUGAGGUGCGAAAGCGUGGGGAGCAAACAGG
RNAcentral lists this ribosomal RNA (253 nucleotides) under uncultured bacterium. RNAcentral's name for it is "partial 16S ribosomal RNA". It matches the Rfam family "Bacterial small subunit ribosomal RNA", at positions 524 to 776 of the family's 1533-position model. The record is from RNAcentral.